UGGCAUUAUCAGCCUUGUUACAAGACUGUGCUAACAAGUUUGUUGCAGCCAUGAUAUAACAAGGAUGUUACAAGGUUGUCAAAACAAUCUUGUUAUAUCAAACAUGUAACGGACUUGUCAGAACAACCUUGCAACAAGUCUGGUAAUUUCGACAAGGUUGUUACAAGUUGUCAACAAGUUGUUCCAGACCUGUUGACAACUUGUGACAAGCAGUGCGAAUACAUCUUGUUGACGGUUUGUUGGCAGACUUGUUACAAGAUGUGAGAUUUUUACGUGUGUA
Paramuricea clavata is the source of this 280-nucleotide non-coding RNA. The record is from the annotation of a GenBank genome assembly. Lineage: Eukaryota; Metazoa; Cnidaria; Anthozoa; Malacalcyonacea; Plexauridae.